RNAcentral lists this ribosomal RNA (253 nucleotides) under uncultured bacterium. RNAcentral describes it as "partial 16S ribosomal RNA". It matches the Rfam family "Bacterial small subunit ribosomal RNA", at positions 524 to 776 of the family's 1533-position model. The record is from RNAcentral.
UACAGAGACUGCAAGCGUUAUUCGGAUUCACUGGGCGUAAAGGGUGCGCAGGUGGCCGAGUGUGCUAGGCGUGAAAGCCCGGGGCUUAACCCCGGAAUUGCACCUAAAACUACUUGGCUAGAGCAUUGGAGAGGGGAGCAGAAUUCAUGGUGUAGCAGUGAAAUGCGUAGAUAUCAUGAGGAAUACCAGAGGCGAAGGCGGCUCCCUGGACAAUAGCUGACACUCAGGCACGAAAGCGUGGGGAGCAAAAGGG